Poecilia latipinna (sailfin molly) is the source of this 362-nucleotide long non-coding RNA. RefSeq lists it as uncharacterized. The record is from RefSeq and is a predicted model, not a curated record. The transcript is spliced from 2 exons. Lineage: Eukaryota; Metazoa; Chordata; Actinopteri; Cyprinodontiformes; Poeciliidae.
CGACAAAGAGAGAGAGAGAGAGAGAGAGAGAGAGAGAAACAGAGAGUAAAAAGGUAGGAGUGGUUUUGAUUUGGUCGUCUGUUCGGGUUGUUUUACCUUUGUUUACCUUUGCUGUGGCUCAUCACACCUGCUGUAGUUUCUGAACGUUCAAUAAAUGACAAACUUGGACUGAUUACCUCGUUAUUUGUGAGCAUACGUCACAACAAACAUCAAAGGGCAAAUAUAUUUCAUUAAGUUUUAACAAAUUCUACCACGAUAAUUAUGUGAAAUUAAAUUAAUUAUAUCCUGACUUCAGAAGAUUUGCCUAUACCUUUACUGGGCUCUUUGGUUCCUCCUAUCAGUCUGUAGUUUCUCAUAUUGAG